CCCGCACGGCCGCCCGCGCCGGGCCUCUCCUUCGCCUCCCCGCCGCGGCCGGCCGGGCUCCAGGCUGACAUCAGACGCUGGCCGCCAGGCCACCCUCUGAGUCAACAGUUUCCGAAGCGCAGCAGCCCGCUGCCAGGGGCGGGAGACGGCGCAGCCUCCCGGGGAGGCGCGGCUCGCAGCGCUCCGGCCGCGGCGGAGGGCGGAGGUCAAACAGGAAGGCAGGCUGUGGAGGAGCCAGGACAUCGAAGGCGGCAACUGUCUACCGGUGUUUGGUUUUCUCCUUCCCACAAACGGGCACCGCUUUGACCCGUUCAUGACCCCAGGAUGAGUAAGACCGUGGGCCUCCAGCUGGAGUUCAUCCUGGGCCCCUUUCCUGGAUUUGACUUGCUGUUCUUUCCAGAACCACCACUUAGCAAAUAAUGCCAGUCGGGGAGGGAGGUGUCUGUGUCUCGCCUUAAAGGCAGGAGCCGAACAACGUCUGGGUUUUCAGAACGGACCUGGAUCGGAUCUGCAUCGGUCCUGUCAGUAACAUUUGAGAGGGACCCUGUGAGCCCCCCAUCUAGACUCCGGCAGAAGAGAGUGCCCCUUCUGCAUUUGGGGUGCAUUCCAAGGGUGGGUGGCUCCUUUCUGCCAAUCCAGUCCAGCUGGAAAUAGCAUCACAGCAGACCUCUGGGAAGCCCUGUGCUUUUUACUUUUUCCCUGCAGAGUAGUUAAGAACGGCAGCUUUUGGGAAACCAAGCGGUCUAAUUUGCUGAUCUGGGACAAGAUGCAGAAUCCUGUGACAUCAGAGGAAGAAACAGUGGCCAAGGAUGUGGGACUCGAAAGUGGUAGUGGUCAAGGCCCUAGGCCUGUGUGGUUGCCCUUCAGGGAGUGUUGUGGGCUGGACCAGUGUGAGUUAGCUUUGCAGCUGAGGGCAGGUGCAAGAGGGGCUGCGGCUGUUGCUUACACCACAGACCCCACAGCUUGUAGCUUCCACAUUAUCCAGGCUCAGAAUCCAAGCUCUCUUGAAAAGGGUCUCUCUCACUUCUGUCUUAGGCCCAGACCAGGGGACACCUGCCUGCCCUGUGUAAAGCUGAGUUUUAAAGGCCCUGGCACCUCCACCAUGGCUCCUAAUAUGGCCGGCUUGCCCUGCUGUGUUCAGUGUUACCUUCUACCCAGAGGCCCUAAGAAACAUCUGUGCAAUUUACUCUUGCUGACCUCCUGGAGGAAGUGAGUUAGCUGUCAGCUCUGCCCCCUCUUGCCUCCACAUCUGGCCUUGGAAGCAUCCUUUGUGUCUGACAGAGCUUCCUGUUGGCUGUGGCUGCUUACCAGGCAGCCUCAUCUUGGCCUUUGACACCUCCAACUCUUCCUUGUCUGGUCAAAUAGCCAGCAUUCUCCACUUCUUGAGGGGCCCCAGCAGCCAAUCAGAUGGGAGAGUCUCGGCACCUUCUUUUCAUAGCUGGAACCAGGGCAGGGAGCCAGUGCUGUGUAGCUGCACCUCACCGAAACAGUCCAGUCGUUCAGGAGCAGAGGUGGGCCUCACUCAUCUGAGCUCCUCACUGGCCUUGGCAAAGGUCAGGUGUAAGUCUACAUCUCGAGCAUCGAGACAGGGGCUGCUUCCCAUCACAAAAUUUUCCCUGAAGAUCUUUAUAAGAUUCCUGGGGCUAGGUUGUAGCUUGGGAAAUCAUGUGCUUAGCAUGUACAAGACCUUAGUGCCCUAGCAUCACGUAAAAACAAUAAUAAAUGAAGUAAAUGCGA
Peromyscus californicus insignis is the source of this 1737-nucleotide long non-coding RNA. RefSeq lists it as uncharacterized. The transcript has 2 exons. Lineage: Eukaryota; Metazoa; Chordata; Mammalia; Rodentia; Cricetidae. The record is from RefSeq and is a predicted model, not a curated record.